UACAGAGGGUGCGAGCGUUAAUCGGAAUUACUGGGCGUAAAGGGCGCGUAGGCGGAUAGAUAAGUCAUAUGUGAAAGCCCCGGGCUUAACCUGGGAAUUGCCUAUGAUACUGUUUAUCUAGAGUAGGGUAGAGGGAAGUGGAAUUUCCGGUGUAGCGGUGAAAUGCGUAGAUAUCGGAAGGAACACCAGUGGCGAAGGCGGCUUCCUGGACUCAUACUGACGCUGAGGCGCGAGAGCGUGGGUAGCAAACAGGAUUAGAUACCCUGGUAGUCCACGCUGUAAACGAUGAGAACUAGCUGUUGGGGUGGUAAGACACCUGAGUAGCGAAGCUAACGCGAUAAGUUCUCCGCCUGGGGAGUACGGCCGCAAGGUUAAA
Molecule: ribosomal RNA, 376 nt
Filed under: uncultured bacterium
Lineage: Bacteria
Description: bacterial SSU rRNA
Rfam family: Bacterial small subunit ribosomal RNA
Source: RNAcentral